RNAcentral lists this long non-coding RNA (338 nucleotides) under Elaeis guineensis (African oil palm). Its description in RNAcentral is "long non-coding RNA (EGUI_LNC068448)". Lineage: Eukaryota; Viridiplantae; Streptophyta; Magnoliopsida; Arecales; Arecaceae. The record is from RNAcentral.
CCUGGCAUCCGAUUUGAUCGAACAGAAUUUUUUCUUCAACCCACAUGUCCCAUCAAUCGGUGUCAAAGGCUCACAUGAGAAGCUACUUGGGAGUUUUAGUGGGAGACUAUGGGACAGAAGUCCAUCUUUGCCGGCCCCUCUAUGAUCAUGAACUCCGCUUAUCCCUGUGCCUAUUGCUGGACUGGAACCUCCCCGUAUGUCUGAUUAAAGCUGGCCUGAACAAUAUCAUAUCUUCCUUUGACAGUGCCAAACCUCACUAGAUAAGCAAGCCCCAAUGGUCCUCCUGCAUGUGUAUAUCUCCAAUAGGCCGAAGUCCUCCCAUGCUGAAGUUACCUCCC